This 69-nucleotide transfer RNA is filed under the name Marmota marmota marmota (Alpine marmot). It matches the Rfam family "tRNA". Rfam says of the family: Transfer RNA (tRNA) molecules are approximately 80 nucleotides in length. Their secondary structure includes four short double-helical elements and three loops (D, anti-codon, and T loops). The record is from Rfam by way of RNAcentral. Lineage: Eukaryota; Metazoa; Chordata; Mammalia; Rodentia; Sciuridae. RNAcentral also lists the same sequence under 1 other name.
GACAUAGCUCAGUGGUAGAGUGUUUGCCUAACAAGCAUAAAGCCCUGGGUUCAAUCCCCAGCACUGUCA